RNAcentral lists this long non-coding RNA (3994 nucleotides) under Mus musculus (house mouse). RNAcentral describes it as "long non-coding RNA chr6:94523346-94527340". The record is from RNAcentral. Lineage: Eukaryota; Metazoa; Chordata; Mammalia; Rodentia; Muridae.
AUCGCACCAGUAAGGCUGCCUAAACAAUGACAGCACCAGUUGACAUGUCUAAUGUGGAUGGGGGUCUCACGGGGUUCCACUACAGGCAACUCAUGAUUGUGGGGAGAGGGAGAGAGAGUCUUUUCCAGGGAUGUGCCUCUUAAUAGGUUAGUUUCCAACACACACACACACACACACACACACACACACACACACACACACACACAAACAUACACACACACACACACACAUCAAGCAGACAACUCCAGACAACAGAAAAGCAGCCUUGAAUUUGAGAUGAGGUGGGGGAAGGUGUAAGAGAGUGGAGAGGGGGUGAUGAUGUAAACAUAUCAUAUGCAUAUUAAAUAAAAAAUCAAAAAGUAGAUCAUUUUGAGUUUCUUUAGAAUAAGAAAAGCAUGUUCUGGAAUGUCCUGUUUCGAUUUGAGAGGACAUCAUGCCUCCCACUCCUGAUAUGUGAAACCUGAGAGUGUUACUUGGCAGAAGAGACUGAGCAGAUAAGACUGGAGACCGUGAGAGCUGGGGUUUCCUAAGACAUCAGGGGGGAGCUCAGUGCAGUUCGAAGCAUCUUACACCAGGAAGGAAGGGAAGCAGCAGGUCCAGGACCCCAAGGAUGCCAAGCUGCUGGUUCAACGGUGGAGAGAGGAGCCGCAAGCCAGGGGAUGCAGGUGAUCCUGUGUGCUACAGAAAGCUGCCUGAUAGCUUCUCUCCAGCUGAGGAGGCCCCUUCCUAUAAUUCCUCCCAAAAUACUCUGUCCCAGCCUACCGUCACGUAUAUGGUGUGUUAGAGAAACAGUAGUUAUUCAUUAAGAGGGACCUACAGAUUGAUGAGUUGGGCUCCCAUUCCCACAAAUCACGACUCACUUCUGUGACGGAGACUAGAAGUGGGAAGCCUUUGGUUUGUAUGUUGAUUCUUACUACCCAGGGCCUGCAGUUCAAUAUGAUUUCUGUUGAGAAGGCUGUUCACGUAGUGUGCAGUCUGCGUUAUCAGUGGGCAGUGUUGGUUUUUCUCAAGAGAGAGACUAGUACCCGCAGAGAUUUAAAUUUUUCUUAUGGUGCUUAUAGGUUGUAUAUGUGAGGGGGCCAUUUUAAGAAGAAAGGUUUGCUAAACUGUGUUGCAAUAUGAGAAAUGUAAGUAGGAUUUCUGAAUUGCUGUUCACCAACAAAUACAGUUCCAUAUGGAACCAGAAGAUGGCAGAGUUGACACACAAAUGAACCGUGGAGUUGUAGAAGUUUUCUUCACUUUAAAUAGUGGUAUAGAAAAGAUAUGUUAGCUAUAAAUUGAAGCCAGCUUUUUUUUUUUCAUUUUUUUAUUACAUAUUUUCUUUAUUUACAUUUCAAAUGCUAUCCUGAAAGUUCCCUAUGAAGCCUGCUUUCUAAAGAGUGUUUGGGAAACUCUGAAAAGAAAGAGUCAUAGAAUGCAAGUAACUAGACUGCUUCCCAAGUCUUCAGUGUUACAGUCUUUCCCCAUGUUCCUUGUAGCAGUCUGCCCUGAGUUUGUUCUGUAAAGCGCAACACCGAUUUUUCUCCAGAUACAGUUAGUCCCUGCUUGGCGUAUGCGGGCUUCUGUUGAAUGUAUUCCCGAGUUGCCAUUUGAAACCAUAUGAGGAAUUUACUGAUUUAAAGUUAGCUGAGUCUCUCGAAUGCUUGUAAGUAUGGCAAACUUUGAAGAUGAUUUCUGGAAGUGGUGAUCACAAAGUCUGGGUUUGACCUGUGCUUCCUGGGUCUCUAGUAACUUCCACAGCAGAAGUCCAGAGAAUGGUGAUGUCAUUGUCCUCGGUUGUGUCUUAGUGUGAUGCGGAAGAUCACCAACUCACUUUCAUACAUUAUGGUUUAGAGGGGUUUUUUUUGUUUUUUAGUUUUAUGUUUUAUUUAAUAGAUGGUUGGGUUGCCCCCUGCAACAGUAACAGUAAGCUAACAUUCAGAGAGGUUUUUAUUUCAAAGAAAGAAAUUUCAACAACUCUUGGUAACCUCAUUAGUAUUUAGCCACAAUUUAGACUUAAGUUUUAUAUUUCUGGUAUUAAUUCUAGUGAGUCCAACAUUCUGUUUCUCUUUUAAGGUUGAAAAAACAAUGGGGGCACAUUUGUCUUUGUCUCUUUCUCUCUGUCUCUCUGUUUCUUUCUAUGUCUCUGUCUCUCCCCCCUCCUCUCUCUCUUUCUCUCUCUCUCUCUCUCUCUCUCUCUCUCUCACACACACACACACACACACACACCUCUACCUCUAUAUCUCUGCCCUUCUCUCUGUCUCCUCUCCUGUAGGCUAUAUUAUCCUAUCUUAAUCUUCCUGUCUCUAUUCCUGAGGUUUAGGGUUGCGUGUAUGGACUAUCAUGCUUAGCUCCAUACAUAUUUCCUUUCUGGGAAACUACCAUUAUCUUUAGAAAGAACACUAACAGGUGAAGCAUUCUCAGGUCUAAUGAAAUGUCACCAUCUCAUGUCCUGGGUUCAUCCCAUGUAUAUGAGGAGAUAGCAUGCCACAGAGCGCGUGCCAGGGGACCUGGGGACUGCAUUAUUUGCAUUUCCUGUCACAGAUCUGUAGCACUCAGCCAUGCUUUGUUCUUGUGCAGUGGAAUGCUCUGUUGUCCAUUACAUUGUAAUUGAAGAAAGAUCAAAAAACCAAAUGGGAGGCAUGGAGGGGCAGAUGGAGAUAGAUGAGGCAUUUCUUUGUAGACUGCCUUGGGCCCGAAUUGCCAUGCCACAGAAGUCAGACGCCAUGCUGGGGCCUUUGUACCAGGCAAUGGCCAGGAUGGUUUUUCAUCGGAGACCCUUUUCCAAGUUUUUCUUUUGUUUCUGUAUUUUUAAGAAAUAAAAAUGUAAUCUAAGAGCACAAAGGGUUCUGAAGCAUGCAGUUCCAUAAAUAUUGAUGCUGAGCCUCAGAAGUGGUCAGUUCCUUCUUCCCCGAUAUUGGGGUUACGUUUCGUUGUUGACCUCCUGAAUUGGAAAGCACACGGUAUUACUGUGCCCUUUUCUUUCUCUUCUCUUUCAUUUCUUUCUGUGUUUUCAUUCUUUGGUUAGUUGUAGACAUUGGGAGCUUGUCUUUAGGUUCCUGUUGAUGUGGACUUCAUUUUGCAUCUCUGAUUUCAGGGGGUUUCUCAAAGUUCACACUCUUACCUGAAGAAGCAAUUUUGUACGCAGUUUCAAGCCUCUAAGAAGCUGUCUGAACUGCUCUGUUGUAGAUCAUUGCUAACUUAAAAAGAGACAAUCUUGUCAAACCUAGCAUUAAUCUCAUAUCUGUAAGUGUAUUUUAAUUGGCCUGCUUUUUAUUUCUCCCUUACAUGGAGUCUUUGGUCUACAGAACUUGUUCAUUGUAAUUGCAAAUAAUUUAGAAAAUAUGGAUAAGCAGGAAAAAGUUACCUGUAAUCCUAUUGCAUUUUUCCUUAUUCUUCAUAUGAAAAAAGAUAAUUGAAAAAUAAUGUUAGAUCAGUAAAGAUAUUUCUGUGGAAAUGUAUAACUUUUUGGUGUUUUUCUUCCUUCUUGGUAGUUUGAUUUUUUUCUACAAAAAUAUAGAGUUUUCUUUUUCUUCAGCUGGUUAGUGAGAUUGAUAUAUAUUUUCUCACUCUCAAGGUGCUUAUGGUCAGUAGAAAAAAAUUUUUUUAAAUUAUGUUACUAAGUAGGACUCGGGAGUUGGCUUAGUGGAUAAGCUUGCUCAGUAUGAAAGCAAGAGGAUCUGAGUUCAAAUCCCCAGCACCCAUGUAAAGCCAGACAUGGCUGUAUGCAUCUGUAACCCCAUUAUUGGGAGACAGUGAUGAAAACAACCCUGGGCUCACAGGCCAGCCCACCUAGCUGAAAUGGCCCCCUUCAGGCUCUGUGGGAGAGGAGACCCUGUCUCAAAGCGUAAAAGUAACAAGCAUUUGAGGAGCGUACCACAUACUGACUUCAGAACUCAGCAUGUUCAUGCACACACACACACACACAGAGUGAAUAAGUCAGGUAAGAGUUUAUGUGGGAAUUAAGAAUAAUGAAGGACUUUUUGUAACAGAGAAGGUAUAAUAAUGGGAAAGU